UCCUGGGAUAGCUCAGUUGGUAAAGCAUGAGACUCUUAAUAUUAGGGUUAUAUGUUCGAGCCCCACGUUGGGCA
Molecule: non-coding RNA, 74 nt
Organism: Podarcis lilfordi (Lilford's wall lizard)
Lineage: Eukaryota; Metazoa; Chordata; Lepidosauria; Squamata; Lacertidae
Source: the annotation of a GenBank genome assembly